Paramisgurnus dabryanus is the source of this 2432-nucleotide non-coding RNA. The record is from RefSeq and is a predicted model, not a curated record. Lineage: Eukaryota; Metazoa; Chordata; Actinopteri; Cypriniformes; Cobitidae.
CAGACACACACCAAGCACAUUAUGUUUGGACAUUCAAUCAUGACAUGAUCCAGGUGGAUGCUGUCCAUUGAGGAAAGAGUUUGUUCAGCGGUUUCUGGAUAGAAUUAAUUCCAAAGAUGGGAAAAAGUGCACAUCCAGACAAGGAGCAAGCAAAAAGACAAGGAACUUGGUGCAGAGAAAAGCUGUGGCCAUUAACCCCUGUGAACAGCUUCAUGCAGUCGCUGAUUGAGUUCGAAUGGACGACUUCAGUAAAGGCCACUGUGGUCUGUCUGCCACAGUUUAAUUUUUAAUUUAUUUUUAGUGUUCAAUGAAAUUCAAGUAGAAUAUUUAAAACUAUGGGCCAGUGUUGUUUUUACCACGGUGAAAUGUUACCUUUUAGUCGAUGAUGGACUUUAAACUGAAAACUUCAAACUAUGGAACAGUGUUCUAUUUGCCAGAGUUAAAUAUGUUACAGCAGGGGUCUCCAAACUUGUUUAUACUUGUUGAUUUUAUUUUAUGUUACUUGAUUAUAUGUUUAUUAUUGUUUAAAAUCUUGUUUUAAAUAUGUUUGUUUCAAUUAAAUGUUUUUUUAAAUAAAAUUUUGAUACAAACAUUGCUUGGAUUGCCUUUUAAUUCAUUAUGUUUUAAUUUAGCAUUUUUACCAUAUUAAUAACUAUAGAUUUAAACCUAAAUCUCUAGCUAUUUUAUAUAAUAUUAUUGUAUUAACUGUAAUAAGUAAUAAAUAGUAUUUAUGGGUCAAUAUAGACAUUACAGUAAAUUACUGUAAAAAUAGACUACUGUAAUAAAAUAUUGUAAAAUUACAGUACAGUACUGCUUUGUAACUAUACAGUACUAGUUUGUGUACUGUAAAAUGGUAUUACAGUACAGUACUGUAAAACCAAAAUACAGUAACUUACUGGCAACCGUGCUGCCAGUACCGUACUGUAAAAAUACAGGGAAAUCGUUAACAGUGUACAUUAAAGUCUUUUUAAAGCCCUGUUCACCUUAGUGGACUCCAUGGGUUUGCAUGAACAUCCUAUCCUUGAAGUUUAAUUCAGAAACUUAUUAAGCUUUUUCAAAAACCUCCAAAAAAGUCAUCGUAUAAUCUAAUAUUAAAUGUGGUUGGCUACUUUUAUAUUAUUGCAGUGUCACUUUCCAUGAUCGUUUCAGAGUGAAAUUUCCAUUUAAUGCAAGUGAUUAUAAUUCAGGUGCACACACACACACACACACACACAGUCAGUGAGUGAAAAGUUGAGCAGAUAUUUAAUGUAAUUCACUGAUAUUUAUUAUAAGAGAAACUGCAGUGAAAGGGUAGAAAUACCUAAAUAACAUAAGUGACAUUUUAUUUCUCAUGAAUGAUUGAACAGCACCAGGCACCUAUUAAAUUGUUUGACAGUGAUCAAUCUAACCUCACAAUAAAUCUUGCAAUGUACAUUUGAAGCUGUGGUGGAUUUGUCCGUGUCAAAGACAACCGUAAGGCCUAAAGGUAAGCCACCUGUACGGGGGCAGCCGAAAUUCAAACUGUUGGACCUUAUGUUAAACUUGCCAACGCUAUUCUCCACGUUUAUGAGGUCAUGUUUUCUUUAUCCUGAAAAGACAUGCGAUACCGACACAAGACACUCUCCGCUAGUGCAAAUGUCAUAUCAUGCCCAUCAUUGUUUUCCGAGCGACUCGUGCCAUCUGAACCCACAGUGACAUUUUGGCAGCGUCUCAGAUCACCCGGCUGUCCGUAGCCAGUCUUAUCGGCGUGCCACGCUCACCACAACCAAUUAUAGUGACACAAGCGACUUGCAUGACCUGGUGCUCUUGGCAUGUUAAAUAUAAAUUAUUCACCCAGCAAGAGCUCGAUUGACUCAUCUUUGGCCAUAUGUCUUGCAGAGCAAUGUGUUUUCCCCAGUAUUUCUUUCAGACCUACAUUAGUUUCUCAGAUAUUCGCUGUCACCACCCACUUGUUGAUUUUGUUUUGCAGCCACGCUGGGUUUUAAAUGGGGCUGAUGCAUUUCGGCUCGGGCACCCGGUUGGAAGUUGGCCAAACUGUGUCCCACUCUCAUGGGAUUCAGUGUGACAUUAUCCGCUAAUUAGAUUCUGUUCUGGUAAUUACAGCCAACUUUUAGGCUAACUGAGAAAUACAUCUUCUGAGUGGACUGAAUGGAUGGAGCUAUAAAGAUUCAAACGCUCUGCUGAUCUGGAAAUAACAGGUUUUAGGUUGGUGCAAACUACCUUUUGAAAACUACAUUAUUUUGCUGUCAAUGAUAAACUGGGCCUGCAGUAAAAUUUGGUUGAAAGUUUAAAAUAGUAAGGAUGUUGUGAUGGUGCAAUCCUAAAUAUAAAGGUUCCCAAAAGGUUCUUUAUCAGGCUUUAAGUGUUUGAUGGCAUAGAGGACCUUAAAUUUUUAUAAUCUUCAGAUGUUAAAGGUUUUUCAUGUAACCAUUUACCCCAAAAUGGUUCAUCUA